UACUCCCGCCGGCGACCGGCGCACGGGUGAGUAACACGUAUGAAACCUGCCCGUAGCAGGGGGAUAAACGGAAGAAAUUCCGUCUAAUACCGCGUAACAACCCGAGGAGGCAUCUCCUCGGGUUUAAAGGAAGCGAUUCCGGCUACGGAUGGUCAUGCGUCGCAUUAGCUAGUUGGCGGGGUAACGGCCCACCAAGGCGACGAUGCGUAGGGGUUCUGAGAGGAAGGUCCCCCACACUGGUACUGAGACACGGACCAGACUCCUACGGAAGGCAGCAG
Molecule: ribosomal RNA, 278 nt
Filed under: uncultured bacterium
Lineage: Bacteria
Description: partial 16S ribosomal RNA
Rfam family: Bacterial small subunit ribosomal RNA
Source: RNAcentral